RNA transcript from Homo sapiens (human), 3518 nucleotides. It is a transcript of the gene named importin 4, with no coding region annotated. NCBI's taxonomy places the organism in Eukaryota, Metazoa, Chordata, Mammalia, Primates, Hominidae. The record is from RefSeq and is marked validated. The transcript is spliced from 30 exons.
GGCCCAGUAGCGGCGGCUCAGUUGCUGCCAUGGAGUCAGCCGGGCUAGAGCAGCUCCUACGGGAGCUGCUGCUACCGGACACCGAGCGCAUCCGUCGGGCCACGGAACAGCUCCAGAUCGUUCUUCGGGCCCCCGCCGCUUUGCCGGCUCUCUGCGACCUGCUAGCCUCGGCGGCCGACCCCCAGAUCCGCCAGUUUGCGGCCGUGCUGACCCGCAGACGACUGAACACCCGCUGGCGACGGCUGGCGGCGGAGCAACGGGAGAGCCUCAAGUCCCUGAUCCUGACGGCCCUGCAGAGAGAAACAGAGCACUGUGUGAGCCUCAGCCUGGCCCAGCUCUCAGCCACCAUUUUUCGAAAGGAAGGCUUGGAGGCCUGGCCACAGCUUUUGCAGCUGCUUCAGCACAGUACCCACAGCCCCCACAGCCCAGAGAGAGAGAUGGGGCUUUUGCUGCUAAGUGUGGUGGUGACCUCCCGGCCCGAGGCCUUCCAACCCCACCACCGGGAGCUUCUUCGGCUUCUGAAUGAGACUCUUGGUGAGGUGGGCUCUCCUGGGCUGCUCUUCUACUCCCUGCGCACUCUGACCACCAUGGCUCCCUACCUCAGCACUGAAGAUGUGCCUCUCGCUCGGAUGUUGGUGCCCAAGCUGAUCAUGGCCAUGCAGACUCUGAUCCCCAUAGAUGAGGCAAAGGCCUGUGAGGCCCUUGAGGCUUUGGAUGAACUGUUGGAGUCAGAGGUGCCGGUCAUCACCCCCUACCUCUCUGAAGUCCUCACAUUCUGCCUGGAGGUAGCUAGAAAUGUGGCCCUGGGCAAUGCGAUACGCAUACGUAUUCUCUGCUGCCUCACUUUCUUGGUCAAAGUCAAGAGCAAGGCCUUACUGAAGAAUCGUCUCCUGCCACCCUUGCUGCACACCCUUUUCCCCAUUGUGGCUGCUGAGCCCCCACCAGGCCAGUUGGAUCCCGAGGACCAGGAUUCAGAAGAGGAAGAGUUGGAGAUUGAGCUGAUGGGGGAGACUCCCAAGCAUUUCGCUGUACAAGUUGUGGACAUGCUGGCACUACACCUGCCCCCCGAGAAGCUCUGUCCCCAGCUGAUGCCCAUGUUGGAAGAGGCUUUGCGGAGCGAGAGCCCAUACCAGCGCAAAGCUGGACUCCUGGUGCUGGCCGUGCUGUCUGACGGAGCUGGCGACCACAUCAGGCAGAGACUGCUGCCCCCACUGCUGCAGAUUGUGUGCAAGGGCCUGGAGGACCCCUCGCAAGUUGUACGCAAUGCUGCGCUGUUUGCCCUGGGCCAGUUCUCAGAAAACCUACAGCCCCAUAUCAGCAGCUAUUCAAGGGAGGUAAUGCCACUGCUCCUCGCCUACUUGAAGUCGGUGCCUCUUGGACACACACACCACCUAGCCAAGGCCUGCUAUGCCCUGGAGAAUUUUGUGGAGAACCUAGGGCCCAAGGUGCAGCCCUACCUUCCGGAGCUUAUGGAAUGCAUGCUGCAGCUUCUGAGGAACCCCAGCAGUCCCCGGGCCAAGGAGCUGGCUGUGAGCGCCCUGGGAGCCAUUGCUACGGCUGCCCAGGCCUCGCUGCUGCCCUACUUCCCUGCCAUCAUGGAGCACCUGCGGGAAUUCCUGUUAACAGGCCGUGAGGACCUUCAGCCUGUGCAGAUCCAGAGCCUGGAGACACUGGGGGUGCUGGCACGAGCAGUGGGGGAGCCCAUGAGGCCGCUGGCUGAGGAAUGCUGCCAGCUGGGUCUGGGCCUCUGCGACCAGGUAGACGACCCUGACUUGCGGCGCUGCACGUACAGCCUAUUUGCAGCCUUAUCGGGUCUGAUGGGUGAGGGCCUGGCGCCCCACUUGGAACAGAUCACCACGCUCAUGCUGCUGUCACUGCGUUCCACCGAGGGCAUUGUGCCUCAGUAUGACGGGAGCAGCUCCUUCCUUCUGUUUGACGAUGAGAGUGAUGGGGAAGAAGAGGAGGAGCUCAUGGAUGAGGAUGUGGAAGAAGAGGAUGACUCAGAGAUCUCAGGGUACAGCGUGGAGAAUGCCUUCUUCGAUGAGAAGGAAGACACCUGUGCUGCCGUGGGGGAGAUCUCUGUGAACACCAGUGUGGCCUUCCUUCCAUACAUGGAAAGUGUCUUUGAAGAAGUAUUUAAACUGCUGGAGUGCCCUCACCUGAAUGUGCGGAAGGCAGCCCAUGAGGCUCUGGGUCAGUUUUGCUGUGCACUGCACAAGGCCUGUCAAAGCUGCCCCUCGGAACCCAACACUGCUGCUUUGCAGGCUGCCCUGGCCCGAGUCGUGCCAUCCUACAUGCAGGCAGUGAACAGGGAGCGGGAACGCCAGGUGGUGAUGGCCGUGCUGGAGGCCCUGACAGGGGUGCUCCGCAGCUGUGGGACCCUCACACUGAAGCCCCCUGGGCGCCUCGCUGAGCUCUGUGGCGUGCUCAAGGCUGUGCUGCAGAGGAAGACAGCCUGUCAGGAUACUGACGAGGAGGAGGAAGAGGAAGAUGAUGAUCAGCCCCUGACCUGGCUCCACAGGCUGAAUACGACGCCAUGUUGCUGGAGCACGCUGGAGAGGCCAUCCCUGCCCUGGCAGCCGCGGCUGGGGGAGACUCCUUUGCCCCAUUCUUUGCCGGUUUCCUGCCAUUAUUGGUGUGCAAGACAAAACAGGGCUGCACAGUGGCAGAGAAGUCCUUUGCAGUGGGGACCUUGGCAGAGACUAUUCAGGGCCUGGGUGCUGCCUCAGCCCAGUUUGUGUCUCGGCUGCUCCCUGUGCUGUUGAGCACCGCCCAAGAGGCAGACCCCGAGGUGCGAAGCAAUGCCAUCUUCGGGAUGGGCGUGCUGGCAGAGCAUGGGGGCCACCCUGCCCAGGAACACUUCCCCAAGCUGCUGGGGCUCCUUUUUCCCCUCCUGGCGCGGGAGCGACAUGAUCGUGUCCGUGACAACAUCUGUGGGGCACUUGCCCGCCUGUUGAUGGCCAGUCCCACCAGGAAACCAGAGCCCCAGGUGCUGGCUGCCCUACUGCAUGCCCUGCCACUGAAGGAGGACUUGGAGGAGUGGGUCACCAUUGGGCGCCUCUUCAGCUUCCUGUACCAGAGCAGCCCUGACCAGGUUAUAGAUGUGGCUCCCGAGCUUCUGCGUAUCUGCAGCCUCAUUCUGGCUGACAACAAGAUCCCACCAGACACCAAGGCCGCACUGUUGCUGCUCCUGACGUUCCUGGCCAAACAGCACACCGACAGCUUUCAAGCAGCUCUGGGCUCACUGCCUGUUGACAAGGCUCAGGAGCUCCAGGCUGUACUGGGCCUCUCCUAGACUGCAGGCUGCAGCCAGUCCAGAGAGAAUAGAGCCUGCCCAGGCCUUAAGACCACCUCUCAGCCCAGUUCAGUUCUGCCUUACCAAAGAUUCUGAGACUCAUACCCAUUUGGAGCCAGCCCCACUUGCUGCCUUACAGGGCUGUCCCUGAGGCUGGAUCUGUUACAAAUGAGUCAUGACAUCAUACUGUAAUAAAAGCAGCUUGUUUUCUGCUUGAACAAUA